CAGAACCCAAUCUACAUGCUUGAC
RNAcentral lists this non-coding RNA (24 nucleotides) under Drosophila melanogaster (fruit fly). Lineage: Eukaryota; Metazoa; Arthropoda; Insecta; Diptera; Drosophilidae. The record is from RNAcentral.